RNAcentral lists this ribosomal RNA (1556 nucleotides) under Salmonella enterica subsp. enterica serovar Heidelberg. RNAcentral describes it as "bacterial SSU rRNA". It matches the Rfam family "Bacterial small subunit ribosomal RNA". Lineage: Bacteria; Pseudomonadati; Pseudomonadota; Gammaproteobacteria; Enterobacterales; Enterobacteriaceae. RNAcentral also lists the same sequence under 3 other names. The record is from RNAcentral.
UUAAAUUGAAGAGUUUGAUCAUGGCUCAGAUUGAACGCUGGCGGCAGGCCUAACACAUGCAAGUCGAACGGUAACAGGAAGCAGCUUGCUGCUUUGCUGACGAGUGGCGGACGGGUGAGUAAUGUCUGGGAAACUGCCUGAUGGAGGGGGAUAACUACUGGAAACGGUGGCUAAUACCGCAUAACGUCGCAAGACCAAAGAGGGGGACCUUCGGGCCUCUUGCCAUCAGAUGUGCCCAGAUGGGAUUAGCUUGUUGGUGAGGUAACGGCUCACCAAGGCGACGAUCCCUAGCUGGUCUGAGAGGAUGACCAGCCACACUGGAACUGAGACACGGUCCAGACUCCUACGGGAGGCAGCAGUGGGGAAUAUUGCACAAUGGGCGCAAGCCUGAUGCAGCCAUGCCGCGUGUAUGAAGAAGGCCUUCGGGUUGUAAAGUACUUUCAGCGGGGAGGAAGGUGUUGUGGUUAAUAACCACAGCAAUUGACGUUACCCGCAGAAGAAGCACCGGCUAACUCCGUGCCAGCAGCCGCGGUAAUACGGAGGGUGCAAGCGUUAAUCGGAAUUACUGGGCGUAAAGCGCACGCAGGCGGUCUGUCAAGUCGGAUGUGAAAUCCCCGGGCUCAACCUGGGAACUGCAUUCGAAACUGGCAGGCUUGAGUCUUGUAGAGGGGGGUAGAAUUCCAGGUGUAGCGGUGAAAUGCGUAGAGAUCUGGAGGAAUACCGGUGGCGAAGGCGGCCCCCUGGACAAAGACUGACGCUCAGGUGCGAAAGCGUGGGGAGCAAACAGGAUUAGAUACCCUGGUAGUCCACGCCGUAAACGAUGUCUACUUGGAGGUUGUGCCCUUGAGGCGUGGCUUCCGGAGCUAACGCGUUAAGUAGACCGCCUGGGGAGUACGGCCGCAAGGUUAAAACUCAAAUGAAUUGACGGGGGCCCGCACAAGCGGUGGAGCAUGUGGUUUAAUUCGAUGCAACGCGAAGAACCUUACCUGGUCUUGACAUCCACAGAACUUUCCAGAGAUGGAUUGGUGCCUUCGGGAACUGUGAGACAGGUGCUGCAUGGCUGUCGUCAGCUCGUGUUGUGAAAUGUUGGGUUAAGUCCCGCAACGAGCGCAACCCUUAUCCUUUGUUGCCAGCGAUUAGGUCGGGAACUCAAAGGAGACUGCCAGUGAUAAACUGGAGGAAGGUGGGGAUGACGUCAAGUCAUCAUGGCCCUUACGACCAGGGCUACACACGUGCUACAAUGGCGCAUACAAAGAGAAGCGACCUCGCGAGAGCAAGCGGACCUCAUAAAGUGCGUCGUAGUCCGGAUUGGAGUCUGCAACUCGACUCCAUGAAGUCGGAAUCGCUAGUAAUCGUGGAUCAGAAUGCCACGGUGAAUACGUUCCCGGGCCUUGUACACACCGCCCGUCACACCAUGGGAGUGGGUUGCAAAAGAAGUAGGUAGCUUAACCUUCGGGAGGGCGCUUACCACUUUGUGAUUCAUGACUGGGGUGAAGUCGUAACAAGGUAACCGUAGGGGAACCUGCGGUUGGAUCACCUCCUUACCUUAAAGAAGC